CAAUGAAUCCUUCAAUCGAUUAUUGCUUACAAAAAUUAACUCUAAAAUUUCCAAAUAAAAUUGACAAGAAAAUCGACAGAAGCAAAAUCGAGAGCGUAGUGAAUAACCGCGUACCUUACUGUGCGAUCGCAUUAGAUUUGAAAGAUUCCAAAAAAUGUUGAUCUGUUCUUACUGAUAAAUUUUCAAUGCAAACAAAUUUGAGAAAACUGUGUUUCUGUCUUCAACUACUCCUUUCCCGUGAAAUGAAAAAAGUUAAGAAAAAUAAAGAGGGAACAGAAAAUAAAAACGAAACUGUGUAAUAAGAAUUGGAUUUGCUCUUGAUUAGUGGUUGUUUUGUUGUUAAUCCUCUCCGGUUAGAGAUGUAUUGAACGGUUGUGUUUGUGGGCCUGUUGGUAAUGUGGGCUGAGCCCAUU
This 413-nucleotide long non-coding RNA is filed under the name Trifolium pratense (red clover). RNAcentral describes it as "long non-coding RNA (TPRA_LNC012150)". The record is from RNAcentral. Lineage: Eukaryota; Viridiplantae; Streptophyta; Magnoliopsida; Fabales; Fabaceae.